GUGUUCUCGUUCCCAGUCAGGGAAAACCCCACAGGCUGCGAUAAAAGGGCCAAAAUAACCCAAAUUGGUCAUAUUCAGACUUUAGAGGGAACACCAACAUGCAUAAGCUUUAUCUUAUGGUUCAGGUACCGUUACACACUUAUACAUGUGAGGAAUCCAAUGCUGCUGUAUAAAUUCAGUUUAAAACAGAAUCUUGUUACUUUGCAGAAAGGUUCUCCAAAGGUCCAUUUAGCCGUUUUAAAGUAGUACACAAUCAUAAAGGGCCGAGUGAG
Molecule: long non-coding RNA, 272 nt
Organism: Poecilia latipinna (sailfin molly)
Lineage: Eukaryota; Metazoa; Chordata; Actinopteri; Cyprinodontiformes; Poeciliidae
Exons: 2
Source: RefSeq, a predicted model, not a curated record